Molecule: long non-coding RNA, 1726 nt
Filed under: Rattus norvegicus (Norway rat)
Lineage: Eukaryota; Metazoa; Chordata; Mammalia; Rodentia; Muridae
Description: long non-coding RNA NONRATT018313
Source: RNAcentral
GUGAAUCUGUGUUAAUGAGAGUGUGCUGAUAGUGUGCUUUUAUAGCUACUUGUUAAACAUACCACGUCUAAAUUUUCCGAGGAAUGAACUUCAGGAAAUGAGUCAUGGUUUUGUCUUGUGCUUCGCUCAUCUUAAGUCUGAGCAGAAACUCAAGUGCAGUGGAAGAACAGUUUUCUUUUGUCUGUGCUAAGGUUAAACCCAGGGACACUUAGCUACAUCCCCAGCCCAAAAAUUGUUCAGAGAAGCAUAUGUGUCCUGUAUGUUUCUGAUCGUUAUUUAUAAAUGUGCAUACUUAAAUGCAUAACAGUGUUUCUGGGAUUUCACCUAGAACUGGUUGGGGUGCAGAGCAAGAGACUCACGUGGAGGCCGUCCAGGCGCCGGGAGCAUCCUGCCCCUGCUGCAUUUAGCCUGUUAGCUUCGGCAGCUUAAGCACAUACGGUCAGAAUCAUCUUAAGCUUUAUUAAGUCUGUCUUACCCUUUUCCAUGAUUUUUAUUUAUAAAAUAGCUUGUUCUCAAAUUGAAUAGGGUCCUUAUGCUUAGAAGUCUACCUGUUCACUUGGAAAUAGAAUGAAAAUAGGUAUGGAUUUUUAAAUUUUUCAGUAAGUUUCUUAAAUACAUGGUGUGAAGUACUAUUUGCAUGGCAUAAACAGGUUUUUAAAAGAUCAAGCCUUACUCAUUUGUCUUAUCAUUAGAUACUUAAAGACCAAAUGCAAAACUGACUGAAUUUGUCCUGAGGCAAACAGUAAAGGCAUUUCAGGUGUUGACCGCAGACUCCAGCAGCUGACAGGUUUCUUCUUGCACUUGGGGUUGUCUCAUUUAAUUACGUAAGUGAAUAAGAGUCUACACAUUCCCUAUAGACGUUCAAAGACCUUUCUGUAAAAAUAAUAUUUUAUACUGGGUUUUGAAUGGAUAUAUGGGCCACCAUUUUAAGUAAAACAUUUUUCCAAUUUAAAUCACAAAUUAUUAGGUCAGGUGAGGUAGUGCAUACUUUUAAUCCCAGCACUUGAGACAACAGUUUGAGGCCAGCCACAGCAAUGUAGUAAAACUGUCUCAAAACCAAUCAGAAAUCAUACAUUAACAUCUAAGUAUAAAGUAAACCAAGAUUUGCAUAUAUCUUAUGGAUAAAUUUCUGUGAUAAAACUAAUUAUGUUCUCAAAGAUCUUUUCUCAACUAUUAAGGUAAAAUUGGGACAGUAAACAUCUGAUAUGUAACAACUGGUGUAUUUACCUAUCAAAACAUAGUCAACAUAGAAUGUAUGUUUAUCUCCCCAAAGGAUUGUUCAUGAACCUUUGUGCUCCUUUCCUGAGAUAAGCACCCGGACGUUACCCUCCCAGGAAAGUACUAAUUGCUCUAGGCUAGUUCAUAUUUUUUAUAGUUUUAUUGGAAUCAUGUAUACAUUUAUUUAUUUGCUUGUUUGUUUUCACUUGGCAUAAUUGGAAAUUUAUUAUAGGUAGUGAUAGUACAUUUCUGGAAACUGCUUAGUACUGUCUGUAUUCAUACAGUGGGAUUUAUCUGUUCACUUGUUGGCCAGUAUUGUUUCUGGUUAGGGACCAUUACAAAUAAAGGCACCUGAACAGACAUGAACAGAUCUUUGUAUGAACAGUGCUUUCAUUUCCUUUGACUAAACAUAGUGACAUGCGUGGUUCAUGUUUAAAUUUUUAAAGAGAAUUUUACAGUAUUUUCUAAAGUGUCAUUUUUACUCUUAUCAGCAAUUUAUAAAGGAUCU